AACGUGGCCUUGCCGAAUUCCGGGAUUGUUUCCUGGGAGCGGGGGACCCACUCCCUUGGGGCGCAUCGCCAAUAAUGGCGUAGGACACUCUUCGGUCCGAGCCCGUCAGCUAACCUCGCAGGCGUCGAAGGGGAAGACCU
Molecule: small RNA, 140 nt
Filed under: Desulfovibrionales bacterium
Lineage: Bacteria; Pseudomonadati; Thermodesulfobacteriota; Desulfovibrionia; Desulfovibrionales
Description: c-di-AMP sequence
Rfam family: c-di-AMP riboswitch aptamer (ydaO/yuaA leader)
About the family: This family represents a conserved RNA structure found upstream of the ydaO and yuaA genes in Bacillus subtilis and related genes in other bacteria. The ydaO/yuaA element is thought to act as a genetic "off" switch for the ydaO and yuaA genes in its native state.
Source: RNAcentral